GCCGAUAUAGCUCAGUUGGUAGAGCAGCGUAUUCGUAAUGCGAAGGUCGUAGGUUCGACUCCUAUUAUCGGCACCA
RNAcentral lists this transfer RNA (76 nucleotides) under Escherichia coli. RNAcentral describes it as "tRNA-Thr". It matches the Rfam family "tRNA". From Rfam's summary of the family: Transfer RNA (tRNA) molecules are approximately 80 nucleotides in length. Their secondary structure includes four short double-helical elements and three loops (D, anti-codon, and T loops). Further hydrogen bonds mediate the characteristic L-shaped molecular structure. tRNAs have two regions of fundamental functional importance: the anti-codon, which is responsible for specific mRNA codon recognition, and the 3' end, to which the tRNAs corresponding amino acid is attached (by aminoacyl-tRNA synthetases). tRNAs cope with the degeneracy of the genetic code in two manners: having more than one tRNA (with a specific anti-codon) for a particular amino acid; and 'wobble' base-pairing, i.e. permitting non-standard base-pairing at the 3rd anti-codon position. Lineage: Bacteria; Pseudomonadati; Pseudomonadota; Gammaproteobacteria; Enterobacterales; Enterobacteriaceae. RNAcentral also lists the same sequence under 2 other names. The record is from RNAcentral.